GACGAACGCUGGCGGCGUGCUUAACACAUGCAAGUCGAACGGUAAGGCCCUUCGGGGUACACGAGUGGCGGACGGGUGAGUAACACGUGGGUGAUCUGCCCUGCACUUCGGGAUAAGCCUGGGAAACUGGGUCUAAUACCGGAUAGGACCACUGCCUGCAUGGGUGGUGGUGGAAAGCUUUUGCGGUGUGGGAUGGGCCCGCGGCCUAUCAGCUUGUUGGUGGGGUGAUGGCCUACCAAGGCGACGACGGGUAGCCGGCCUGAGAGGGUGACCGGCCACACUGGGACUGAGAUACGGCCCAGAGUCCUACGGGAGGCAGAAGUGGGGAAUAGUGCACAAUGGGCGCAAGCCUGAUGCAGCGACGCCGCGUGAGGGAUGACGGCCUUCGGGUUGUAAACCUCUUUCAGCACCGACGAAGCGCAAGUGACGGUAGGUGCAGAAGAAGGACCGGCCAACUACGUGCCAGCAGCCGCCGCAG
Molecule: ribosomal RNA, 478 nt
Filed under: uncultured bacterium
Lineage: Bacteria
Description: partial 16S ribosomal RNA
Rfam family: Bacterial small subunit ribosomal RNA
Source: RNAcentral